This 464-nucleotide ribosomal RNA is filed under the name uncultured Geobacteraceae bacterium. RNAcentral's name for it is "partial 16S ribosomal RNA". It matches the Rfam family "Bacterial small subunit ribosomal RNA", at positions 338 to 794 of the family's 1533-position model. Lineage: Bacteria; Pseudomonadati; Thermodesulfobacteriota; Desulfuromonadia; Geobacterales; Geobacteraceae. The record is from RNAcentral.
CCUACGGGAGGCAGCAGUGAGGGAUAUUGCGCAAUGGGCGAAAGCCUGACGCAGCGACGCCGCGUGGGCGAGGAAGGCCUUCGGGUCGUAAAGCUCUGUCAGAGGGGAAGAAAUGCAGGUGGUGAACAACCAUUCUGUUUGACGGUACCCUCAAAGGAAGCACCGGCUAACUCCGUGCCAGCAGCCGCGGUAAUACGGAGGGUGCGAGCGUUGUUCGGAAUUAUUGGGCGUAAAGCGCGUGUAGGCGGUUUGUUAAGUCUGAUGUAAAAGCCCCGGGCUCAACCUGGAAAGUGCAUUGGAUACUGGCAGACUUGAGUACGGGAGAGGAGAGUGGAAUUCCCAGUGUAGGAGUAAAAUCCGUAGAUAUUGGGAGGAACACCAUUGGCGAAGGCGGCUUUCUGGGCUGACCCUGACGCUGAGACGCGAAAGCAGGGGGAGCAAACCGGAUUAGAUCCCCCUGUAGU